UACAGCCAUAUCACGUUGAAACAUCGCUUCCCGUACGAUCACCGAAGUUAAGCAACGUCGAGCCUUGUCAGUAAUUAGAUAUGUUACCGCUUGGGAAUACCAGGUACUGUAA
Acanthosepion pharaonis is the source of this 112-nucleotide non-coding RNA. NCBI's taxonomy places the organism in Eukaryota, Metazoa, Mollusca, Cephalopoda, Sepiida, Sepiidae. The record is from the annotation of a GenBank genome assembly.